This 423-nucleotide ribosomal RNA is filed under the name uncultured archaeon. RNAcentral's name for it is "partial 16S ribosomal RNA". It matches the Rfam family "Archaeal small subunit ribosomal RNA", at positions 323 to 746 of the family's 1478-position model. The record is from RNAcentral.
CUACGGGCCGCAGCAGCUGCGAAUUUUUUGCAAUGCACGAAAGUGUGACAAAGCGAACCAAAGUGCUUUCCGCACAGGAAAGCUUUUAUUCACUGUAAAAAUGUGGAUGAAUAAGGACUGGGUAAGACGAGUGCCAGCCGCCGCGGUAAUACUCGCGGUCCAAGUUGCAACCAUUAUUAUUGGGUCUAAAACAUCCGUAGCUUGUUUAAUAAGUUUCUUGUGAAAUUUUAUAUCUCAAGUAUGAAGCGAGCAAGAAAUACUAUUAAGCUAGAGACCGGCAGAUGUAAGGAGUACGGCCAAGGUAGCGGUUAAAUGUGUUAAUCUUGGUUGGACUAACAAUGAGCGAAGGCACCUUACAAGGACGGAUCUGACAGUGAGGGAUGAAGGCCAGGGGCGCAAAACGGAUUAGAUACCCCAGUAGUC